RNAcentral lists this ribosomal RNA (467 nucleotides) under uncultured bacterium. Its description in RNAcentral is "partial 16S ribosomal RNA". It matches the Rfam family "Bacterial small subunit ribosomal RNA", at positions 28 to 506 of the family's 1533-position model. The record is from RNAcentral.
GACGAACGCUGGCGGCGUGCUUAACACAUGCAAGUCGAACGGAAAGGCCCUGCUUUUGUGGGGUGCUCGAGUGGCGAACGGGUGAGUAACACGUGAGUAACCUGCCCUUGACUUUGGGAUAACUUCAGGAAACUGGGGCUAAUACCGGAUAGGAGCUCCUGCUGCAUGGUGGGGGUUGGAAAGUUUCGGCGGUUGGGGAUGGACUCGCGGCUUAUCAGCUUGUUGGUGGGGUAGUGGCUUACCAAGGCUUUGACGGGUAGCCGGCCUGAGAGGGUGACCGGCCACAUUGGGACUGAGAUACGGCCCAGACUCCGACGGGAGGCAGCAGUGGGGAAUAUUGCACAAUGGGCGGAAGCCUGAGGCAGCAACGCCGCGUGCGGGAUGACGGCCUUCGGGUUGUAAACCGCUUUCGCCUGUGACGAAGCGUGAGUGACGGUAAUGGGUAAAGAAGCACCGGCUAACUACGU